CGCCUGUUUAACAAAAACAUGUCUUUUUGAUUAUAAUUUAAAGUCUAACCUGCCCAAUGAGUAGUUGAAUGGCCGCGGUAUUUUGACCGUGCAAAGGUAGCAUAAUCAUUAGUUUUUUAAUUGAAAGCUGGUAUGAAUGGUUGGACGAGAGAAUAACUGUCUCAAUUUAAUUUAAUUAGAAUUUUAUUUUUAAGUAAAAAAGCUUAAAUGUAUUUAAAAGACGAGAAGACCCUAUAGAGUUUUAUAUAAUUUUUAUUUUAUAUAUUAUAGAAUUAAUAAGUUUAGAGUAUAAAUUGUAUUUUGUUGGGGCGAUAGAAAAAUUGAAUGAACUUUUUUUAUAUUAGAUCAUUAAUUUAUGAAUAAGUGAUCCGUAUUUAACGAUUAUAAGAUUAAAUUACCUUAGGGAUAACAGCGUAAUUUUUUUUGAGAGUUCUUAUCGAAAAAAGAGUUUGCGACCUCGAUGUUGGAUUAAAAUUAAUUUUUGGUGUAGAAGCUAAAAAAUUAGGUCUGUUCGACCUUUAAAAUUUUACAUGAUCUGAGUUCAAACCGGAG
RNAcentral lists this ribosomal RNA (552 nucleotides) under Achloa sp. DA-2012. RNAcentral's name for it is "partial 16S ribosomal RNA". It matches the Rfam family "Bacterial large subunit ribosomal RNA", at positions 1797 to 2621 of the family's 2925-position model. The record is from RNAcentral. Lineage: Eukaryota; Metazoa; Arthropoda; Insecta; Coleoptera; Scarabaeidae.